RNAcentral lists this long non-coding RNA (349 nucleotides) under Citrus sinensis (sweet orange). Its description in RNAcentral is "long non-coding RNA (CSIN_LNC003061)". The record is from RNAcentral. Lineage: Eukaryota; Viridiplantae; Streptophyta; Magnoliopsida; Sapindales; Rutaceae.
GAACUUCCCAGCCUCUACAUAUUUUUUUUUCCCAUAAUAGUGGCGCAUGCGUGACCAUGACCAUCAUAACAGGAAUCCUUUGUUAUUAGUCACAUGUUAACUUAACGGUUUGAAUUAUUAUUGUUAUUGGAUUAUGAAUAAACAAGUUUUCUUUUUCUUCUUUUUUUUUUUAAAUUUCAGAUAUACGUAAUCAUGGAGCUUUACUUUUUUUAUUAAUUACUGAUAAAAGAAAUUCUUAUUAAUAACCCAUAAAUGAUUUGAAACCUCGGAUUCAUACUAAAAUUAUGAUGAUUCAAUAGAACUUUAAAAUAAGUUGAAACAUACUAUGAAUAAGACUGUAAGAAUCCUU